Molecule: long non-coding RNA, 777 nt
Filed under: Zea mays
Lineage: Eukaryota; Viridiplantae; Streptophyta; Magnoliopsida; Poales; Poaceae
Description: long non-coding RNA (ZMAY_LNC001281)
Source: RNAcentral
AGCAAUAUAAUGCUUCAGUUGCAAAUAAAUUUCCAUCCCAUGUUCCUCAAGGUAAACACCUGUGAUUCCGAAGAGGUCAUUGCGGUUAGCUGUACAAACUGAUUUGUUGUUACCGUACCUCAAUCUAGUAAAUAGUACUCCCUCCGUUCCAAAAUAGUAUUCAUUUUAGUUCUUGAUUUUUAUGUCUAUAUUCAACUAGAUGUUGAUGAAUGUAGACACAUAUAUAGAAUACAUACACCAAAUAUUGUAUGAAUCUAUUAAAAAGUCAAAAUGAAUUUUAUUUUGGGACUGAGGGAGUAUACAAAUACUUUUGUUGGAUUCAGUGACAAGCUGCAUCCAUAUAAUAGUAUUUCAGCGAAACAAACCAUUUUUUGGAGAAUGUAGUUAACUGACGUGCUGUUGCUGACAACAUUAUUCUAAAAACACUGAUUUGUUAUAUGGAUGGUUGCGAAUAACAUUAUUGUCAAAAUGGUUUGUUUGGCUGAAAUUUUAUUUCACGGAUGCAUGUUCCACUGAAAUAAACUGAUAUAUUAUGCAUCCUGUAUGAACUGAUGUGUUGUUGCUGAUAACAUGUUAAGAAGUGGAACAAUUUUGCAACUCUGAACAGGCAGUUUACGUUAGCUGUUAUAAACUGAUGUGUUGUUAGUUGUUACUGUACCUCAGCCCAAUUAUCUUCUGUUUUUCUUCAUUAACGUUCUGUUAUUUUGGAGAACGGAUACCUGGCAUAUAUACUAGACUUGCUUUAUGCAUGCUGAUUGCUGACAGGUGCUGCUGCAA